AACGAACGCUGGCGGCAUGCCUAACACAUGCAAGUCGAACGAGACCUUCGGGUCUAGUGGCGCACGGGUGCGUAACGCGUGGGAACCUGCCCUUAGGUUCGGAAUAACUCCCCGAAAGGGGUGCUAAUACCGGAUAAUGUCUUCGGACCAAAGAUUUAUCGCCUUUGGAUGGGCCCGCGUUGGAUUAGCUAGUUGGUAGGGUAAAAGCCUACCAAGGCGACGAUCCAUAGCUGGUCUGAGAGGAUGAUCAGCCACACUGGGACUGAGACACGGCACAGACUACUACGGGAGGCAGCAGUGGGGAAUAUUGGAAAAUGGGCGAAAGCAUGAUCCAGCAAUGCCGCGUGAGUGAUGAAGGCCUUAGGGUUGUAAAGCUCUUUUACCCGGGAUGAUAAUGACAGUACCGGGAGAAUAAGCUCCGGCUAACUACGUG
This 433-nucleotide ribosomal RNA is filed under the name uncultured bacterium. RNAcentral's name for it is "partial 16S ribosomal RNA". It matches the Rfam family "Bacterial small subunit ribosomal RNA", at positions 29 to 507 of the family's 1533-position model. The record is from RNAcentral.